Molecule: long non-coding RNA, 695 nt
Filed under: Coffea arabica (coffee)
Lineage: Eukaryota; Viridiplantae; Streptophyta; Magnoliopsida; Gentianales; Rubiaceae
Description: long non-coding RNA (CARA_LNC001871)
Source: RNAcentral
UCGGCCAGCUUGCUCAGCUUUAUAGCUGAUGUUUGGCUCUAAUAUUAAAGAGAUUAAGUAUAUAAAAAAUGAUGGUCAAGUGGUGCGUUCAAACGGUGGUGCGCGGGACCCGCCGGCUUGCGCCGUUUUUCUUAAAAACUCAUGUACUAGGGUUUUUACUUCCCAUUCACUAACCAUAUAUCAUUGCUACCAAUCACAUAUUAUUUCUCACUUAAAAGUCACUUUUAAUCCUCAAAUUUAAUCCUUACUCUGUACCAAAAAUUCAUCCGGCGAAAAAAUCGCGAAAACCCUAAUUUUGCUCCAAACUUGAAACCGAAGCGUAAAACCCUAUUUUCUAGGUUUACUUACACUUAUUGUGAAAUAAUUGGGUAGUGGGCUUUGACAAAUAAUAAUUUUCAAAUAAAAGGGUAUUUUUGAGAAAAAUACAAGAAAUUUGCGAGUCCUCACAUUCUCUCCCCCUUAAAAAAAUUUCGUCCUCAAAAUUUUACCUUCAGUUGCCUCAGACGAGUCUGGAACUUGUCGGUUGUCUAAAGCAUAAACCUUUGCCGGUCCGCUAGUUCGUUUCCCUCCUUCAUUCACUUGUGAUUUAGCUCCAUCCAGUUGCAGAGUAUUGCUUUCACGUGACUGUCUUCUCGGACAGUUGCUAACUUGAUGAUCGCCACUUCCGCAGAUUAAACAUUUCCGCCCCUUUCUCC